Molecule: ribosomal RNA, 608 nt
Filed under: uncultured bacterium
Lineage: Bacteria
Description: bacterial SSU rRNA
Rfam family: Bacterial small subunit ribosomal RNA
Source: RNAcentral
ACGAAGUAGCAAUACUUAGUGGCAGACGGGUGAGUAACAUGUAGGUAUCUGCCCUUUGGCCUGGAAUAACACGAGGAAACUUGUGCUAAUACCGGAUAAGUCUUUACGGAGAAAGCUUUAUGCACCAUUGGAUGAGCCUGCACUUGAUUAGUUUGUUGGUGGGGUAAUGGCCUACCAAGACUGUGAUCAAUAGCUGAUUUGAGAGGAUGAUCAGCCACAUUGGGACUGAGACACGGCCCAAACUCCUACGGGAGGCAGCAGUGGGGAAUCUUGCACAAUGGAGGAAACUCUGAUGCAGCGAUGCCGCGUGAGUGAAGAAGGCCCUUGGGUUGUAAAGCUCUUUCGUCGGGGAAGAAAAUGACUGUACCCGAAUAAGAAGGUCCGGCUAACUUCGUGCCAGCAGCCGCGGUAAUACGAAGGGACCUAGCGUAGCUCGGAAUUACUGGGCUUAAAGAGUUCGUAGGUGGUUGAAAAAGUUAGUGGUGAAAUCCCAGAGCUUAACUCUGGAACUGCCAUUAAAACUUUUCAGCUAGAGUAUGAUAGGGGAAAGCAGAAUUUCUAGUGUAGAGGUGAAAUUCGUAGAUAUUAGAAAGAAUACCAAUUGCGAA